ACCGAUAGUGAACCAGUACCGUGAGGGAAAGGCGAAAAGAACCCCGGCGAGGGGAGUGAAAAAGAACCUGAAACCGUGUACGUACAAGCAGUGGGAGCACCCUUUGGGGUGUGACUGCGUACCUUUUGUAUAAUGGGUCAGCGACUUAUAUUCUGUAGCAAGGUUAACCGAAUAGGGGAGCCGGAGGGAAACCGAGUCUUAACCGGGCGUUAAGUUGCAGGGUAUAGACCCGAAACCCGGUGAUCUAGCCAUGGGCAGGUUGAAGGUUGGGUAACACUAACUGGAGGACCGAACCGACUAAUGUUGAAAAAUUAGCGGAUGACCUGUGGCUGGGGGUGAAAGGCCAAUCAAACCGGGAGAUAGCUGGUUCUCCCCGAAAGCUAUUUAGGUAGCGCCUCGUGAAUUCAUCUCCGGGGGUAGAGCACUGUUUCGGCUAGGGGGCCAUCCCGGCUUACCAACCCGAUGCAAACUGCGAAUACCGGAGAAUGUUAUCACGGGAGACACACGGCGGGUGCUAACGUCCGUCGUGAAGAGGGAAACAACCCAGACCGCCAGCUAAGGUCCCAAAGUCAUGGUUAAGUGGGAAACGAUGUGGGAAGGCCCAGACAGCCAGGAUGUUGGCUUAGAAGCAGCCAUCAUUUAAAGAAAGCGUAAUAGCUCACUGGUCGAGUCGGCCUGCGCGGAAGAUGUAACGGGGCUAAACCAUGCACCGAAGCUGCGGCAGCGACACUCAGGUGUUGUUGGGUAGGGGAGCGUUCUGUAAGCCUGCGAAGGUGGCCUGUGAGGGUUGCUGGAGGUAUCAGAAGUGCGAAUGCUGACAUA
This 822-nucleotide ribosomal RNA is filed under the name Salmonella enterica. Its description in RNAcentral is "partial 23S ribosomal RNA". It matches the Rfam family "Bacterial large subunit ribosomal RNA", at positions 483 to 1304 of the family's 2925-position model. Lineage: Bacteria; Pseudomonadati; Pseudomonadota; Gammaproteobacteria; Enterobacterales; Enterobacteriaceae. The record is from RNAcentral.